RNAcentral lists this ribosomal RNA (434 nucleotides) under uncultured Butyrivibrio sp. RNAcentral describes it as "partial 16S ribosomal RNA". It matches the Rfam family "Bacterial small subunit ribosomal RNA", at positions 341 to 792 of the family's 1533-position model. The record is from RNAcentral. Lineage: Bacteria; Bacillati; Bacillota; Clostridia; Lachnospirales; Lachnospiraceae.
ACGGGAGGCAGCAGUGGGGAAUAUUGCACAAUGGAGGAAACUCUGAUGCAGCGACGCCGCGUGAGUGAAGAAGUAUUUCGGUAUGUAAAGCUCUAUCAGCAGGAAAGAAAAUGACGGUACCUGACUAAGAAGCCCCGGCUAACUACGUGCCAGCAGCCGCGGUAAUACGUAGGGGGCAAGCGUUAUCCGGAUUUACUGGGUGUAAAGGGAGCGUAGACGGCGAAGCAAGUCUGAAGUGAAAGCUCGGGGCUCAACCCCGGAACUGCUUUGGAAACUGUUUUGCUGGAGUGCAGGAGAGGUAAGCGGAAUUCCUAGUGUAGCGGUGAAAUGCGUAGAUAUUAGGAGGAACACCAGAGGCGAAGGCGGCUUACUGGACGGUAACUGACGUUGAGGCUCGAAGGCGUGGGGAGCAAACAGGAUUAGAUACCCUGGUA